RNAcentral lists this ribosomal RNA (253 nucleotides) under uncultured bacterium. Its description in RNAcentral is "partial 16S ribosomal RNA". It matches the Rfam family "Bacterial small subunit ribosomal RNA", at positions 524 to 776 of the family's 1533-position model. The record is from RNAcentral.
UACGAAGGUCCCAAGCGUUAUCCGGAUUUAUUGGGUUUAAAGGGUGCGUAGGCGUCCUGGAAAGUUACGGUUGAAAUCUCCUUGCUCAACAAGGAAACUGGCCGUAAAACUAUCAGGAUUGAGUACAUUUGAAGCGGGCGGAAUGUGUCAUGUAGCGGUGAAAUGCUUAGAUAUGACACAGAACACCAAUUGCGAAGGCAGCUCGCUAAACUGUAACUGACGCUGAGGCACGAAAGCGUGGGGAUCAAACAGG